ACCAGCGGAGGGAUCAUUGCUGGAACAAACGCCCUCACGGGUGCUACCCAGAAACCCUUUUGUGAACUUAUACCAUAAACAUGUUGCCUCGGCAGUGGCUGGGCUCUCUCGGGAGCCCCCAGUACUCCUCGUAGUGCUGGAGCAGGCCGGCCGGUGGCCCUAUAAACUCUUGUUUGUACAGUGUCUCUUCUGAGUAAAACAACUAUAAAUGAAUCAAAACUUUCAACAACGGAUCUCUUGGUUCUGGCAUCGAUGAAGAACGCAGCGAAAUGCGAUAAGUAAUGUGAAUUGCAGAAUUCAGUGAAUCAUCGAAUCUUUGAACGCACAUUGCGCCCGCUGGUAUUCCAGCGGGCAUGCCUGUUCGAGCGUCAUUUCAACCCUCAGGCCUCGCCUGGUGUUGGGGCACUACCUGUCAAAGGGUAGGCCCUGAAAUUUAGUGGCGGGCUCGCUAGAACUCUGAGCGUAGUAAUUCUACCUCGCUUUGGAAGGACUAGCGGUGCUUCUAGCCGUAAAACCCCCCCAUUUUUCUGAAAGUUGACCUCGGAUCAGG
Molecule: ribosomal RNA, 550 nt
Filed under: fungal endophyte sp. M16-3341
Lineage: Eukaryota; Fungi
Description: eukaryotic LSU rRNA
Rfam family: 5.8S ribosomal RNA (bases 218-371)
Source: RNAcentral